Long non-coding RNA from Ixodes scapularis (black-legged tick), 278 nucleotides. RefSeq lists it as uncharacterized. NCBI's taxonomy places the organism in Eukaryota, Metazoa, Arthropoda, Arachnida, Ixodida, Ixodidae. The record is from RefSeq and is a predicted model, not a curated record. The transcript has 3 exons.
CCGUCCCGUCCGUGCAGACAAAGGCCUGUUUGAACCUUCAACGUGCGUGGGUCAAAUGAUUGUUUAGGAAGUCUGUAUGAUGACGAAAAAACUGCAGGUGACGAGAAGCUGCCGAUGAGCUGCCAGUCCGGAUGGCAGCUGUCAACACGGCAAGGGCCUGCAGGCGCAUCAGCUCUCCUCCCGUUCCUCUACUGCCAUUGGAGACAGGAUGCUUUGUAAAAAGAUUGUUUCUUUUCUUCAGUGGGAGCUCAUGAAGGUGGCACUGUGCAUAGAGGGAC